RNAcentral lists this ribosomal RNA (365 nucleotides) under Triticum aestivum (bread wheat). Its description in RNAcentral is "partial small subunit ribosomal RNA". Lineage: Eukaryota; Viridiplantae; Streptophyta; Magnoliopsida; Poales; Poaceae. The record is from RNAcentral.
UGCAACACCAAUCCCUUCAGCUUUCACUUUCGGCCCCUAUGACGCUCUCCUACUCCAAGCAAGAGGUCGGUCAAGGUUCGUGCCCGUUAAAAGCAGACAGGAAGGAAGAAGGCUCCGCCUCAUCAAGUCAGGGAGGUACACCUGAGCCAUGGUGCCGUGGAGGCUGGAGGCGCGACUGGCGGAGACGGUGCGGGUUCCUUGGCUGGCUCUUCUUCUGCAUCACCGUCGCCAGCGAUGUCGCGCAUGCGCUCAGAAGCAGCAAUCUCCCCAUCUAAGGCCGGCAGCCAAGACCGACUCUGCGCCUAUAAAGUGGCAGUUCAUUGGGCGUGCAGGAAGAAAAUUGAUUUACAGCAGUGUAACCAGUC